AACGAACGCUGGCGGCAUGCCUAACACAUGCAAGUCGAACGAGACCUUCGGGUCUAGUGGCGCACGGGUGCGUAACGCGUGGGAAUCUGCCCUUGGGUUCGGGAUAACAGUUGGAAACGACUGCUAAUACCGGAUGAUGACUUCGGUCCAAAGAUUUAUCGCCCAGGGAUGAGCCCGCGUCGGAUUAGCUAGUUGGUGAGGUAAGAGCUCACCAAGGCGACGAUCCGUAGCUGGUCUGAGAGGAUGAUCAGCCACACUGGGACUGAGACACGGCCCAGACUCCUACGGGAGGCAGCAGUGGGGAAUAUUGGACAAUGGGCGAAAGCCUGAUCCAGCAAUGCCGCGUGAGUGAUGAAGGCCUUAGGGCUGUAAAGCUCUUUUACCCGGGAUGAUAAUGACAGUACCGGGAGAAUAAGCCCCGGCUAACUCCGUG
Molecule: ribosomal RNA, 433 nt
Filed under: uncultured bacterium
Lineage: Bacteria
Description: partial 16S ribosomal RNA
Rfam family: Bacterial small subunit ribosomal RNA
Source: RNAcentral